UCUAUAUCUUAAAAAAAUGGCUUUCAAAUGUCUUUCUGCAGUGUUUCAGGAACACAAGUUAGAUG
Molecule: non-coding RNA, 65 nt
Organism: Pteropus alecto (black flying fox)
Lineage: Eukaryota; Metazoa; Chordata; Mammalia; Chiroptera; Pteropodidae
Source: Rfam